GUUGGUGUAGUUCAGUGGUAGAGAAUAUGCUUAGCAUGCAUAAGGCCCUGGGUUCAACCUUCAGCACCAAAA
Molecule: transfer RNA, 72 nt
Filed under: Marmota monax (woodchuck)
Lineage: Eukaryota; Metazoa; Chordata; Mammalia; Rodentia; Sciuridae
Description: tRNA.Ala
Rfam family: tRNA
About the family: Transfer RNA (tRNA) molecules are approximately 80 nucleotides in length. Their secondary structure includes four short double-helical elements and three loops (D, anti-codon, and T loops).
Source: RNAcentral